RNAcentral lists this ribosomal RNA (511 nucleotides) under uncultured Candidatus Poseidoniales archaeon. RNAcentral describes it as "bacterial SSU rRNA". It matches the Rfam family "Archaeal small subunit ribosomal RNA", at positions 1 to 515 of the family's 1478-position model. Lineage: Archaea; Methanobacteriati; Thermoplasmatota; Candidatus Poseidoniia; Candidatus Poseidoniales. The record is from RNAcentral.
GACCUGGUUGAUCCUGCCAGAGGCUACCGCUAUUGGAGUUCGAUUAAGCCAUGCGAGUCGAGAGUCUUAGGGACUCGGCGCACCGCUCAGUAACACGUGGGUAACCUGCCCUAUGCUGGGGAAUAACCUCGGGAAACUGAGAAUAAUGCCCCAUAGCCCACUACGCCUGGAACGGUGAGUGGGUGAAAGCUCCGGCGGCAUAGGAUGGGCCUGCGCCGUAUCAGGUUGUAGGGGGUGUAAAGUACCCUCUAGCCAUCAACGCGUACGGGUGUUGGGAGACAUUGCCCGGAGAUGGAUUCUGAGACACGAAUCCAGACCCUACGGGGUGCAGCAGGCGCGAAAACUUGGCAAUGCGAGCAAUCGUGACCAGGGAACUCCAAGUGCGUAGGGUAAGACCUACGCUUUUCUUGACUCUUCAAAGGUCUUGGAAUAAGGGGUGGGGUAAGGACGGUGCCAGCCGCCGCGGUAAUACCGGCGCCUCAAGUGGUAGUCGCUUUUAUUGGGCCUAAAA